AGAGUUUGAUCAUGGCUCAGGAUGAACGCUGGCGGUAUGCUUAACACAUGCAAGUCGAACGGAAUCUUCGGAUUUAGUGGCGGACGGGUGAGUAACGCGUGAGAAUCUACUCUUAGAUUGGGGACAACAGUUGGAAACGACUGCUAAUACCGAAUGUGCCGAAAGGUAAAAGAUUUAUCGUCUGAGAAUGAGCUCGCGUUGGAUUAGCUAGUUGGAGUGGUAAUGGCACACCAAGGCGACGAUCCAUAACUGGUCUGAGAGGAUGACCAGUCACACUGGGACUGAGACACGGCCAGACUCCUACGGGAGGCAGCAGUGGGGAAUUUUCCGCAAUGGGCGAAAGCCUGACGGAGCAAUACCGCGUGAGGGAGGAAGGCUCUUGGGUCGUAAACCUCUUUUAUUAGGGAAGAAGAUCUGACGGUACCUAAGAUCAGGUUCCCUUCCCCA
Molecule: ribosomal RNA, 447 nt
Filed under: uncultured cyanobacterium
Lineage: Bacteria; Bacillati; Cyanobacteriota
Description: bacterial SSU rRNA
Rfam family: Bacterial small subunit ribosomal RNA
Source: RNAcentral